CUUAUCAAGAGCGGUGGAGGGAUCGGCCCGAUGAAACCCGGCAACCUGCGCAGGCAAGGUGCCAAAUCCGGCGGUGACAAAGAUCGAAAGAUGAGG
This 96-nucleotide non-coding RNA is filed under the name pig gut metagenome. RNAcentral describes it as "SAM riboswitch (S box leader)". It matches the Rfam family "SAM riboswitch aptamer (S box leader)". From Rfam's summary of the family: The SAM riboswitch is found upstream of a number of genes which code for proteins involved in methionine or cysteine biosynthesis in Gram-positive bacteria. The SAM riboswitch acts at the level of transcription termination control. The predicted structure consists of a complex stem-loop region followed by a single stem loop terminator region. The record is from RNAcentral.